This is a long non-coding RNA of Bombina bombina (fire-bellied toad), 486 nucleotides long. RefSeq lists it as uncharacterized. The record is from RefSeq and is a predicted model, not a curated record. The transcript is spliced from 3 exons. Lineage: Eukaryota; Metazoa; Chordata; Amphibia; Anura; Bombinatoridae.
UGUAGAUAUUUGCAUAAGAAUAUGACUGGACAUUUAAGCAGGGAGCUCAGGUGUGUCCUUGAUCGCUCCCAGUGCUCGCGCGUAGGUAUUCGGCGUCCCACUAUGCAGGAGGGGGUGUGUCCGCAAGUGCGUGUGAUCAAGUCUCGCGUCAAUCCAAUCCACACAGCAGAAUAGAAGCGCUGAGUCCGGAGUUGAAAAUUGUGCAAAGUCCCAGCCACAGCAACCGGAGCUGUUAGUGUAGACGCUACUGUAGCCUGAAGUAGCAAAGGGAGCUCAGGUGUGUCCUUGAUCGCUCCCAGUGCUCGCGCGUAGGUAUUCAGCGUCCCACUAUGCAGGAGGGGGUGUGUCCGCAAGUGCGUGUGAUCAAGUCUCGCGUCAAUCCAAUCCACACAGCAGAAUAGAAGCGCUGAGUCCGGAGUUGAAAAUUGUGCAAAGUCCCAGCCACAGCAACCGGAGCUGUUAGUGUAGACGCUACUGUAGCCUGAA